AAUAGAUACCCAGGUAGUCCACGCCGUAAACGAUGAGUACUAGCUGUCGGAGGUUACCCCCUUCGGUGGCGCAGCUAACGCAUUAAGUACUCCGCCUGGGAAGUACGCUCGCAAGAGUGAAACUCAAAGGGGAUUGACGGGGACCCGCACAAGUAGCGGAGCAUGUGGUUUAAUUCGAAGCAACGCGAAGAACCUUACCUAAGCUUGACAUCCUUUUGACCGAUGCCUAAUCGCAUUUUUCCCUUCGGGGACUAGAAGUGACAGGUGGUGCAUGGUUGUCGUCAGCUCGUGUCGUGAGAUGUUGGGUUAAGUCCCGCAACGAGCGCAACCCUUGCCUUUAGUUGCCAGCAUUAAGUUGGGCACUCUAGAGGGACUGCCAGGGGAUAACCGUGGAGGAAGGUGGGGAUGACGUCAAAUCAUCAUGCCCCUUAUGCUUAGGGCUACACACGUGCUACAAUGGGUGGUACAGAGGGCAGCCAAGUCGUGAGGCGGAGCUAAUCCCUUAAAGCCAUUCUCAGUUCGGAUUGUAGGCUGAAACUCG
This 541-nucleotide ribosomal RNA is filed under the name uncultured bacterium. Its description in RNAcentral is "bacterial SSU rRNA". It matches the Rfam family "Bacterial small subunit ribosomal RNA", at positions 777 to 1314 of the family's 1533-position model. The record is from RNAcentral.